UACGUAGGGUGCAAGCGUUGUCCGGAAUUAUUGGGCGUAAAGGGCUCGUAGGCGGUCCAUCGCGUCGGGAGUGAAAAGCUGGGGCUCAACUCCAGUCCUGCUUCCGAUACGGGUGGACUAGAGGUAGGCAGGGGGAGAACGGAAUUCCUGGUGUAGCGGUGAAAUGCGCAGAUAUCAGGAGGAACACCGGUGGCGAAGGCGGCAUCCUGGACCGGUAUUGACGCUGAGGCGCGAAAGCCAGGGGAGCAAACGGG
This 254-nucleotide ribosomal RNA is filed under the name uncultured bacterium. RNAcentral describes it as "partial 16S ribosomal RNA". It matches the Rfam family "Bacterial small subunit ribosomal RNA", at positions 524 to 776 of the family's 1533-position model. The record is from RNAcentral.